GACGAACGCUGGCGGCGUGCCUAACACAUGCAAGUCGAACGGAAAGGCCCUGCUUUUGUGCGGUGCUGGAGUGCCGAACGGGUGAGUGUCACGUGAGUAACCUGCCCUUGACUUUGGGGUAACUUCAGGAAACUGGGGCUAAUAUCGGAUAGGAGCUCCUGCAGCAUGGUGGGGAUGGGAAAGUUUCGGCGGUUGGGGAUGGACUCGCGGCUUAUCAGCUUGUUGGUGGGGUAGUGGCUUACCAAGGCUUUGACGGGUAGCCGGCCUGAGAGGGUGACCGGCCACAUUGGGCCUGAGAGACGGCCCAGACGGCUACGGGAGGCAGCGGUGGGGAAUAUUGCACAAUGGGCGGAAGCCGGAUGCAGCAACGCCGCGUGCGUGAUGACGGCCUUCGGGGUAUAAACCGCUUUAGCCUGUGACGAAGCGUGAGUGACGGUAAUGGGUAAAGAAGCACCGGCUAACUACGUG
Molecule: ribosomal RNA, 468 nt
Filed under: uncultured bacterium
Lineage: Bacteria
Description: partial 16S ribosomal RNA
Rfam family: Bacterial small subunit ribosomal RNA
Source: RNAcentral